ACUGCUCAGUAACACGUGGACAACCUACCCUGAGGAGGGGGAUAACCCCGGAAAACUGGGGAUAAUACCCCAUAGGCCAGGGAUGCUGGAAUGCCUCCUGGUUGAAAGGUCCGCCGCCUCAGGAUGGGUCUGCGGCCGAUUAGGUUGUUGUUGGGGUAACGGCCCAACAAGCCAUUGAUCGGUACGGGUUGUGGGAGCAAGAGCCCGGAGAUGGAUUCUGAGACACGAAUCCAGGCCCUACGGGGCGCAGCAGGCGCGAAAACUUUACAAUGCGAGAAAUCGUGAUAAGGGAACCCCGAGUGCCCGUAAAUUCGGGCUGUCCAUCAGUGUAAAAAACUGGUGAAGAAAGGGCCGGGCAAGACCGGUGCCAGCCGCCGCGGUAAUACCGGCGGCUCGAGUGGUGGCCGCUAUUAUUGGGCUUAAAGCGUCCGUAGCUUGGUUGUUAAGUCUCCUGGGAAAUCCACCGGCUCAACCGGUGGGCGUUCGGGAGAAACUGGCAACCUAGGGACCGGGAGAGGUGAGAGGUACUCCAGGGGUAGGAGUGAAAUCCUGUAAUCCUUGGGGGACCACCUGUGGCGAAGGCGUCUCACUAGAACGGCUCCGACAGUGAGGGACGAAAGCUGGGGGAGCAAACCGGAUUAGAUACCCGGGUAGUCCCAGCUGUAAACGAUGCGCGUUAGGUGUAUCGGUGACCACGAGUCACCGAGGUGCCGAAGGGAAACCGUGAAACGUGCCGCCUGGGAAGUACGGUCGCAAGGCUGAAACUUAAAGGAAUUGGCGGGGGAGCAC
Molecule: ribosomal RNA, 789 nt
Filed under: uncultured archaeon
Lineage: Archaea
Description: bacterial SSU rRNA
Rfam family: Archaeal small subunit ribosomal RNA
Source: RNAcentral